RNAcentral lists this transfer RNA (72 nucleotides) under Heliconius melpomene (postman butterfly). RNAcentral describes it as "tRNA HMEL011128". The record is from RNAcentral. Lineage: Eukaryota; Metazoa; Arthropoda; Insecta; Lepidoptera; Nymphalidae.
GCCAUCUUGGCGCAAUGGAACAGUGUUUCAUUGUAAACGCAACGGUUGUGGGAUCGAUUCCCACAAGGGAGA